Molecule: ribosomal RNA, 470 nt
Filed under: bacterium ANr01A
Lineage: Bacteria
Description: bacterial SSU rRNA
Rfam family: Bacterial small subunit ribosomal RNA
Source: RNAcentral
UUGGAGCUUGCUCCAAAUUCUUAGCGGCGGACGGGUGAGUAACACGUGGGCAACCUGCCCUGCAGAUCGGGAUAACUCCGGGAAACCGGUGCUAAUACCGAAUAGUUUGAGGCCUCUCCUGAGGCUUCACGGAAAGACGGUUUCGGCUGUCACUGCAGGAUGGGCCCGCGGCGCAUUAGCUAGUUGGUGGGGUAACGGCCCACCAAGGCGACGAUGCGUAGCCGACCUGAGAGGGUGACCGGCCACACUGGGACUGAGACACGGCCCAGACUCCUACGGGAGGCAGCAGUAGGGAAUCUUCCGCAAUGGACGCAAGUCUGACGGAGCAAUGCCGCGUGAGUGACGAAGGUUUUCGGAUCGUAAAACUCUGUUGUGAGGGAAGAACACGUACCAAUUAACUACUGGUACCUUGACGGUACCUCACCAGAAAGCCACGGCUAACUACGUGCCAGCAGCCGCGGUAAUACGGA